This 216-nucleotide ribosomal RNA is filed under the name Symbiodinium sp. clade D. RNAcentral's name for it is "partial Eukaryotic large subunit ribosomal RNA". It matches the Rfam family "Eukaryotic large subunit ribosomal RNA", at positions 2623 to 2838 of the family's 3401-position model. Lineage: Eukaryota; Dinophyceae; Suessiales; Symbiodiniaceae. The record is from RNAcentral.
GGCUGGGGCGGCACAUCUGUUAAACAAUAACGCAGGUGUCCCAAGGUGAGCUCAAAGAGAACGGAAAUCUCUUGUAGACCAAAAGGGGAAAAGCUUACUCGAUUUUGAUUUUCAGUACCAAUACAAACCGUGAAAGCGUGGCCUAACGAUCCUUUAGCCUUUCAGGACUUGAAGCUAGAGGUGUCAGAAAAGUUAGCACAGGGAUAACUGGCUUGU